AGAUUGGUAGGGGCUUUGUAAGCCAAUGAGGUUUAUCUGAGGUACGAUUAUUGCUGAUUGAAAACUUUUCCCAAUACCCCGCCAUGACGACUUGAAAUAUAGUCAGCAUUGGCAUUGGCGAUUUUUGACAGUCUCUACAGAGA
This 143-nucleotide small nuclear RNA is filed under the name Carlito syrichta (Philippine tarsier). RNAcentral describes it as "U4 spliceosomal RNA (ENSTSYG00000020309.2)". It matches the Rfam family "U4 spliceosomal RNA". From Rfam's summary of the family: U4 small nuclear RNA (U4 snRNA) is a component of the major U2-dependent spliceosome. Lineage: Eukaryota; Metazoa; Chordata; Mammalia; Primates; Tarsiidae. The record is from Rfam by way of RNAcentral.